RNAcentral lists this ribosomal RNA (293 nucleotides) under uncultured bacterium. Its description in RNAcentral is "partial 16S ribosomal RNA". It matches the Rfam family "Bacterial small subunit ribosomal RNA", at positions 505 to 796 of the family's 1533-position model. The record is from RNAcentral.
GUGUCAGCCGCCGCGGUAAUACAGAGGGUGCGAACGUUGUUCGGAAUUACUGGGCAUAAAGCGUGCGUAGGCGGCGGCGUAAGUGUAGGGUGAAAUCCCACGGCCCACCCGUGUGAACAGCCCCGCAUACUGCGUUGCUUGAGUGUGGUAGGGGAGAGCGGAACUCCUGGUGGAGCGGUGAAAUGCGUAGAUAUCAGGAGGAACACCGGUGGCGCAGGCGGCUCUCUGGUCCACAACUGACGCUGAAGUACGAAAGCUAGGGUAGCGAACGGGAUUAGAAACCCCCGUAGUCC